Molecule: ribosomal RNA, 420 nt
Filed under: bacterium
Lineage: Bacteria
Description: partial 16S ribosomal RNA
Rfam family: Bacterial small subunit ribosomal RNA
Source: RNAcentral
UGGGGGAUAUUGCACAAUGGGCGAAAGCCUGAUGCAGCGACGCCGCGUGGGGGAUGAAGGCUUUCGGGUUGUAAACCUCUUUCGCUAUCGAACAAGGCCCGCUUAGGGUGGGUUGAGGGUAGGUGGAGAAGAAGCGCCGGCUAACUACGUGCCAGCAGCCGCGGUAAUACGUAGGGCGCGAGCGUUGUCCGGAAUUAUUGGGCGUAAAGGGCUUGUAGGCGGCUUGGUGCGCCUGCUGUGAAAACGCGGGGCUUAACUUCGCGCGUGCAGUGGGUACGGGCAGGCUUGAGUGUGGUAGGGGUGACUGGAAUUCCAGGUGUAGCGGUGGAAUGCGCAGAUAUCUGGAGGAGCACCGAUGGCGAAGGCAGGUCACUGGGCCAUUACUGACGCUGAGGAGCGAAAGCAUGGGUAGCGAACAGG